CUCUCGCUGACACAGGUGUGUACUUUCAAUUCAUCUUCCUGCCAGUUCACAACCCACUGGCCUCAAACUCUGCUUUGGCCAGUGCCUGCCCAUUCUCAGCCAGAUAACAAUUUCAGAUGUUUUUUCAAGCAUGUAGAAGUCAGCGUGGACACAGGAGGGCACAGUCUUGGGUGCUGUGUAGAAGGUUAACUGACUUGGAAAUCUGUUUCUGAAUUGUAGGAAUCAAAACGUCUCUGAGUAUUCAUCUGUGAGGACAGGAUCAUUACCCACGUUAGAAACAUGGCCAAAUUUGUUGUUGACUCACCUGUGGAUAUACAUCCGGCACUCUGUGUCUGCAGACACAGAGCCCACAGGUAGAAGAUGAUGCUUAACUUAGCAGCAGGAAAUUGCUUAACUGGAGUACCUUCUGAUGGCAAACUUAUUUCACAGACCUUUGUAGAGAAGG
Molecule: non-coding RNA, 445 nt
Organism: Vicugna pacos (alpaca)
Lineage: Eukaryota; Metazoa; Chordata; Mammalia; Artiodactyla; Camelidae
Source: RefSeq, a predicted model, not a curated record